UACGUAGGGGGCAAGCGUUGUCCGGAAUCAUUGGGCGUAAAGCGCGCGUAGGCGGUCCGGUAAGUCCGCUCUGAAAGCCCGGGGCUCAACCCCGGAAUUGCCUUUGAGACUGCAUCGCUAGAAUUGUGGAGAGGUAAGUGGAAUUCCGAGUGUAGAGGUGAAAUUCGUAGAUAUUCGGAAGAACACCAGUGGCGAAGGCGACUUACUGGACACAUAUUGACGCUGAGGUGCGAAAGCGUGGGGAGCAAACAGG
Molecule: ribosomal RNA, 253 nt
Filed under: uncultured bacterium
Lineage: Bacteria
Description: partial 16S ribosomal RNA
Rfam family: Bacterial small subunit ribosomal RNA
Source: RNAcentral